GUCUGCCUGACUCACCCGGCCGGGAAUAGUGCUCCUGGUUUUUUUCCGGCUCGAGUGGGUGUGUCGGAGG
Loxodonta africana (African savanna elephant) is the source of this 70-nucleotide microRNA precursor. Ensembl annotates it as microRNA 1180. The record is from Ensembl. Lineage: Eukaryota; Metazoa; Chordata; Mammalia; Proboscidea; Elephantidae.